RNAcentral lists this transfer RNA (75 nucleotides) under Nodularia spumigena UHCC 0039. Its description in RNAcentral is "tRNA-Arg". It matches the Rfam family "tRNA". From Rfam's summary of the family: Transfer RNA (tRNA) molecules are approximately 80 nucleotides in length. Their secondary structure includes four short double-helical elements and three loops (D, anti-codon, and T loops). Further hydrogen bonds mediate the characteristic L-shaped molecular structure. tRNAs have two regions of fundamental functional importance: the anti-codon, which is responsible for specific mRNA codon recognition, and the 3' end, to which the tRNAs corresponding amino acid is attached (by aminoacyl-tRNA synthetases). tRNAs cope with the degeneracy of the genetic code in two manners: having more than one tRNA (with a specific anti-codon) for a particular amino acid; and 'wobble' base-pairing, i.e. permitting non-standard base-pairing at the 3rd anti-codon position. RNAcentral also lists the same sequence under 1 other name. The record is from RNAcentral. Lineage: Bacteria; Bacillati; Cyanobacteriota; Cyanophyceae; Nostocales; Nodulariaceae.
UGGGUGCGUAGCUCAGUGGAUAGAGCCACGGAUUUCUAAUCCGUUGGUCGCAGGUUCGAUCCCUGCCGCACCCGU